RNAcentral lists this ribosomal RNA (446 nucleotides) under uncultured bacterium. RNAcentral's name for it is "partial 16S ribosomal RNA". It matches the Rfam family "Bacterial small subunit ribosomal RNA", at positions 338 to 795 of the family's 1533-position model. The record is from RNAcentral.
CCUACGGGGUGCUGCAGUCGAGAAUCAUUCACAAUGGGGGAAACCCUGAUGGUGCGACGCCGCGUGGGGGAAUGAAGGUCUUCGGAUUGUAAACCCCUGUCAUGUGGGAGCAAAUUAAAAAGAUAGUACCACAAGAGGAAGAGACGGCUAACUCUGUGCCAGCAGCAGCGGUAAUACAGAGGUCUCAAGCGUUGUUCGGAAUCACUGGGCGUAAAGCGUGCGUAGGCGGUUUGGUAAGUCGUGUGUGAAAGGCGCGGGCUCAACCCGCGGAGGGCAGAUGAUACUGCGAGACUAGAGUAAUGGAGGGGUAGGCGGAAUGCUCGGUGUAGCAGUGAAAUGCGUAGAUAUCGAGAGGAACACUCAUGGCGAAGGCGGGUUCCUGGACAUUAACUGACGCUGAUGCACGAAGGCGAGGGGAGCGAAAGGGAUUAGAUACCCUAGUAGUC